This 575-nucleotide small RNA is filed under the name Pan troglodytes (chimpanzee). Its description in RNAcentral is "processed transcript". Lineage: Eukaryota; Metazoa; Chordata; Mammalia; Primates; Hominidae. The record is from RNAcentral.
AGAGCUAUUGGGGCUCGGUGGCGGCCGCAGUGGGGUGGAGGGGGCAGGGCGUGGUGAGGUAAGGUGAGUGCCGUAGUGGGGUUCCCUGGAGCCAUGGCCUGCUCCAUUGUCCAGUUCUGCUACUUCCAGGAUCUCCAGGCCGCCCGGGACUUCCUCUUUCCUCACCUGCGGGAGGAGAUCCUCAGCGGCGCCUUGCGGAGGGACCCCAAAAAUUUAGAAGAUAUCAAAUCGAACCCGUCUGUGAAUGAUUGCAUACCUUGUGCCAGUCAUUGGUGCUACAAACCAAAUAAGUGUCUGGAAGUGUGAAAACAGUGAACGUUCCCUUCCAUUUAGCACUGAGUGAUAAGAAGAGUGAACGAGCCAAGGAUAUGCACCUAGUGAAGAAACUAGCAGCCUUACUGAAAACAAAAUCUCCCAAUCUUGAUUUGGUUGAAACAGAAAUAAAGGAAUUAAUUCUUGAUAUUAAAUACCCUGCAACCAAAAAACAAGCUUUGGAAAGCAUUUUGGCAAGUGAACGUUUACCAUUUUCUUGCCUUAGAAACAUCACUCAGACUUUAAUGGACACUUUAAAAAGU